AUGUCAAAAGGGCUGUGGAACUACUGGAUAAGCUUCAGAAAACUGGAGAGGUACCAUCAGCCAAGUUGGCAGCACUACAGCGUGUUCUUCAGUCAGAAUUUCUAACGGCUGUUCGAGAAGUAUAUGAGCAUGUAUAUGAGACUGUAGACAUCUCGGGCUCACCUGAAAUACGUGCAUCAGCAACGGCAAAAGCAACAGUAGCUGCCUUUGCUGCAAGUGAGGGCCAUGCCCACCCAAGAGUUGUAGAGCUUCCCAAGACUGAUGAAGGAUUGGGGUUUAAUGUGAUGGGAGGCAGAGAACAGAAUUCUCCCAUAUAUAUAUCCCGCAUCAUUCCUGGUGGUGUAGCAGAUCGCCAUGGUGGUCUGAAGAGAGGCGACCAGCUCCUGUCUGUGAAUGGAGUGAGUGUCGAGGGUGAGAACCAUGAACGUGCGGUGGAGUUGCUGAAGGCUGCCAGCGGUUCGGUCAAGUUGGUGGUCCGGUAUACCCCUCGAGUGUUGGAGGAGAUGGAGAUGCGAUUCGACAAACAGCGGGCGUCACGUGGGGACUCUUCUCCAGGGCAGUUUUGGCAUCAAGAAUGGAAGUAAACUAUUUUCUACAUAUUAUCUAGUUUACUGUGAAAAGGGACUCAACUUUAGGGAUACCUUUUUCCUAGUUAAAGGAGUCUGUAUAUGGAAUUAAGGGCUAGGGCUGGUCCCAGGAAAGUUUGUUGUGGGCUUGUCAUUGUGCAGGUGGAGGACAGUGGAAUUAAAGAUGCCACAGCAGGUUGCAGCUCCAGACCAAAGAUGAUCAUUCUUUCCAAUUUGUAAUCUUUAGUCACAAACAUUUUAAGCCGUAUGUCUUGUGCAUCAUCCAGUACCCCCACCAGCCACCCCUACCCCUCUAAGCUAGGUUUCUUGAAAUCUAUUGACAGUCCCUUUAGUCUGUUACCAUGUAGAGAGAAAAAAAUCCUUCAGUGUAAUAAUAUUGAUAUCAAAUCGUAUCGUAAAUGCUUUCAGAAUUAGACAUUGUAAUGUAAUAUUCUCCAUCUUUUUAAGGAUUGCAUAUUUUCCAGUUUUGUCCUCCUAGUUUUGGUUGUUUUAGAUAUAUUUUCCAUCUUUCUAUACAGACAAUUGUAUAGAUUUGACUUUUUCAAAGAAUUUUAAUCAGAUUAUACCUGAAAUUUGUAGUAAUUUGUCAUUUAAAACUAUAAAUGUAUAUUAAUGUAGUAAAACAUCAUUGAUGACUUUCUGUUCAAGGGUUUGAGAAAGCCAAUAACAUUUCAUGUGAAUGAAAGUAUGAGUGUAAAUUCCCAUUGUUCUUAAAGGUAAGGGCAGCUAUAAAAGUAUGUAUGAGUGUAUGCUUGUGCUGGGCAAAUGAUUUUCUCAUUUUGUUUUUUCAUUUUCCUUGGCAUGAAUUGUUUGCUGUAAGUUUAACAUAUCAUUUUUAAAUAACCAUAUUUGCAUAUAGAAACUGGAUACUGACCAAUCAAAAUAUGUACAUGUGUCAUAUAUAGUACCACGUAAGUGAUGUUGGUUCAGUAAUGGAGAAUGGGAUUGACACGUUAACUGUGUUCAGCUAGUCUUUAAAGAAUAUAUUUCAUGUAUUUUGAUUGCCAAUCUUAGUUCAUCAUUAUGCAUUUUCAUUUAUUGCAGAUAGAUUGAACUCUUGUUCAAAUUUCAUUUUUCAUGAAUAAACCAAGAUUUCUGAUAUGUAUUGAAAUAUUAUGAAAUGGUAUAGAUGUAUAUCAAAUAUACUUAAAACUAUGAA
This 1746-nucleotide unclassified non-coding RNA is filed under the name Penaeus monodon (black tiger shrimp). Its description in RNAcentral is "protein lin-7 homolog C-like, transcript variant X7". The record is from RNAcentral. Lineage: Eukaryota; Metazoa; Arthropoda; Malacostraca; Decapoda; Penaeidae.